AGGGGAUCGAAAGACCUUAUGCUUUAAGAGCGGCCGAUGUCUGAUUAGCUAGUUGGUAAGGUAAUGGCUUACCAAGGCGACGAUCAGUAGUUGGUCUGAGAGGACGACCAGCCACACUGGGACUGAGACACGGCCCAGACUCCUACGGGAGGCAGCAGUGGGGAAUUUUGGACAAUGGGCGCAAGCCUGAUCCAGCAAUGCCGCGUGAGUGAAGAAGGCCUUCGGGUUGUAAAGCUCUUUCAGUCGAGAAGAAAAAAUUGUGACUAAUAAUCAUAAUUGAUGACGGUAUCGACAGAAGAAGCACCGGCUAACUACGUGCCAGCAGCCGCGGUAAUACGUAGGGUGCGAGCGUUAAUCGGAAUUACUGGGCGUAAAGGGUGCGCAGGCGGUUUUGUAAGUCAGAUGUGAAAUCCCCGGGCUUAACCUGGGAAUUGCGUUUGAAACUACA
This 448-nucleotide ribosomal RNA is filed under the name uncultured bacterium. Its description in RNAcentral is "bacterial SSU rRNA". It matches the Rfam family "Bacterial small subunit ribosomal RNA", at positions 194 to 637 of the family's 1533-position model. The record is from RNAcentral.